This 253-nucleotide ribosomal RNA is filed under the name uncultured bacterium. RNAcentral's name for it is "partial 16S ribosomal RNA". It matches the Rfam family "Bacterial small subunit ribosomal RNA", at positions 524 to 776 of the family's 1533-position model. The record is from RNAcentral.
UACGUAGGGCGCAAGCGUUAUCCGGAAUUAUUGGGCGUAAAGAGCUCGUAGGCGGUUUGUCGCGUCUGCCGUGAAAGUCCGGGGCUCAACUCCGGAUCUGCGGUGGGUACGGGCAGACUAGAGUGAUGUAGGGGAGACUGGAAUUCCUGGUGUAGCGGUGAAAUGCGUAGAUAUCGGGAGGAACACCAGUGGCGAAGGCGACUAUCUGGGCUGAAACUGACGCUGAGGCGCGAAGGCUAGGGGAGCAAACAGG